RNAcentral lists this ribosomal RNA (468 nucleotides) under uncultured bacterium. Its description in RNAcentral is "partial 16S ribosomal RNA". It matches the Rfam family "Bacterial small subunit ribosomal RNA", at positions 28 to 507 of the family's 1533-position model. The record is from RNAcentral.
GACGAACGCUGGCGGCGUGCUUAACACAUGCAAGUCGAACGGAAAGGCCCUGCUUUUGUGGGGUGCUCGAGUGGCGAACGGGUGAGUAACACGUGAGUAACCUGCCCUUGACUUUGGGAUAACUUCAGGAAACAGGGGCUAAUACCGGAUAGGAGCUUCUGCUGCACGGUGGGGGUUGGAAAGAUUCGGCGGUUGGGGCUGGACUCGCGGCUUAUCCGCUUGUUGGUGGGGUAGUGGCUUACCAAGGCUUUGACGGGUAGCCGGCCUGAGAGGGUGACCGGCCACAUUGGGCCUGAGGUACGGCCCAGACUGCUACGGGAGGCAGCAGUGGGGAGUAUGGCGCAGUAGGCGGAAGCCUGAUGCAGCAACGCCGCGUGCGGGAUGACGGCCUUCGGGUGGUAAACCGCUGUGGCCGGUGACGAAGCGUGAGUGACGGUAAUGGGUAAAGAAGCACCGGCUAACUACGUG